UUUCCGUAGGUGAACCUGCGGAAGGAUCAUUCAUAAUAAGUGUUUUAUGGCACUUUUUAAAUCCAUAUCCACCUUGUGUGCAAUGUCAGGGUUGAUUUUUCUCUCGAGAGGAUCAGCCCCAAACAUCAACUAUAUCUCAACUCUUUGUCUGAAAAAUAUUAUGAAUAAAACAUUUCAAAAUACAACUUUCAACAACGGAUCUCUUGGCUCUC
RNAcentral lists this unclassified non-coding RNA (212 nucleotides) under plant metagenome. RNAcentral's name for it is "partial contains small subunit ribosomal RNA, internal transcribed spacer 1, and 5.8S ribosomal RNA". The record is from RNAcentral.